RNAcentral lists this ribosomal RNA (460 nucleotides) under uncultured bacterium. Its description in RNAcentral is "partial 16S ribosomal RNA". It matches the Rfam family "Bacterial small subunit ribosomal RNA", at positions 338 to 795 of the family's 1533-position model. The record is from RNAcentral.
CCUACGGGAGGCAGCAGUGAGGAAUAUUGGUCAAUGGACGAGAGUCUGAACCAGCCAAGUAGCGUGAAGGAUGACUGCCCUAUGGGUUGUAAACUUCUUUUAUAUGGGAAUAAAACGUUCCACGUGUGGGAUUUUGUAUGUACCAUAUGAAUAAGGAUCGGCUAACUCCGUGCCAGCAGCCGCGGUAAUACGGAGGAUCCGAGCGUUAUCCGGAUUUAUUGGGUUUAAAGGGAGCGUAGGUGGAUUGUUAAGUCAGUUGUGAAAGUUUGCGGCUCAACCGUAAAAUUGCAGUUGAAACUGGCAGUCUUGAGUACAGUAGAGGUGGGCGGAAUUCGUGGUGUAGCGGUGAAAUGCUUAGCUAUCACGAAGAACUCCGAUUGCGAAGGCAGUUCACUGGACUGCAACUGACACUGAGGCUCGACAGUGUGUGUAUCAAACAGGCUUAGAUACCCUAGUAGUC